RNAcentral lists this ribosomal RNA (453 nucleotides) under uncultured bacterium. RNAcentral's name for it is "bacterial SSU rRNA". It matches the Rfam family "Bacterial small subunit ribosomal RNA", at positions 28 to 478 of the family's 1533-position model. The record is from RNAcentral.
GACGAACGCUGGCGGCGUGCCUAACACAUGCAAGUCGAACGGAACUGUUUUGAAAGAUUUCUUCGGAAUGAAUUUGAUUUAGUUUAGUGGCGGACGGGUGAGUAACGCGUGAGUAACCUGCCUUCAAGAGGGGGAUAACAUUCUGAAAAGAAUGCUAAUACCGCAUGACAUAUCGGAAUCACAUGGUUUUGAUAUCAAAGAUUUUAUCGCUUGAAGAUGGACUCGCGUCCGAUUAGUUAGUUGGUGAGGUAACGGCUCACCAAGACCGCGAUCGGUAGCCGGACUGAGAGGUUGAACGGCCACAUUGGGACUGAGACACGGCCCAGACUCCUACGGGAGGCAGCAGUGGGGGAUAUUGCGCAAUGGGGGCAACCCUGACGCAGCAACGCCGCGUGAAGGAUGAAGGUUUUCGGAUUGUAAACUUCUUUUAUUAAGGACGAAAAAUGACGGUAC